ACGAACGCUGGCGGCGUGCUUAACACAUGCAAGUCGCACGGAAAGGCCCUGCUUUUGUGGGGUGCUCGAGUGGCGAACGGGUGAGUAACACGUGAGUAACCUGCCCUUGACUUUGGGAUAACUUCAGGAAACUGGGGCUAAUACCGGAUAGGAGCUCCUGCUGCAUGGUGGGGGUUGGAAAGUUUCGGCGGUUGGGGAUGGACUCGCGGCUUAUCAGCUUGUUGGUGGGGUAGUGGCUUACCAAGGCUUUGACGGGUAGCCGGCCUGAGAGGGUGACCGGCCACAUUGGGACUGAGAUACGGCCCAGACUCCUACGGGAGGCAGCAGUGGGGAAUAUUGCACAAUGGGCGGAAGCCUGAUGCAGCAACGCCGCGUGCGGGAUGACGGCCUUCGGGUUGUAAACCGCUUUCGCCUGUGACGAAGCAUGAGUGACGGUAAUGGGUAAAGAAGCACCGGCUAACUACGUG
Molecule: ribosomal RNA, 467 nt
Filed under: uncultured bacterium
Lineage: Bacteria
Description: partial 16S ribosomal RNA
Rfam family: Bacterial small subunit ribosomal RNA
Source: RNAcentral